UGAGGAAUAUUGGUCAAUGGACGCAAGUCUGAACCAGCCAAGUAGCGUGCAGGAUGACGGCCCUAUGGGUUGUAAACUGCUUUUAUAUGGGGAUAAAGUGGGGAACGUGUUCCCUUUUGCAGGUACCAUAUGAAUAAGGACCGGCUAAUUCCGUGCCAGCAGCCGCGGUAAUACGGAAGGUUCGGGCGUUAUCCGGAUUUAUUGGGCGUAAAGCGAGCGCAGGCGGUUAGAAAAGUCUGAAGUGAAAGGCAGUGGCUCAACCAUUGUAGGCUUUGGAAACUGGUUAACUUGAGUGCAGAAGGGGAGAGUGGAAUUCCAUGUGUAGCGGUGAAAUGCGUAGAUAUAUGGAGGAACACCGGUGGCGAAAGCGGCUCUCUGGUCUGUAACUGACGCUGAGGCUCGAAAGCGUGGGGAGCGAACAGG
RNAcentral lists this ribosomal RNA (423 nucleotides) under Verrucomicrobiota bacterium. Its description in RNAcentral is "Verrucomicrobia bacterium partial 16S ribosomal RNA". It matches the Rfam family "Bacterial small subunit ribosomal RNA", at positions 355 to 776 of the family's 1533-position model. The record is from RNAcentral. Lineage: Bacteria; Pseudomonadati; Verrucomicrobiota.